UGGGGAAUAUUGGACAAUGGGCGAAAGCCUGAUCCAGCCAUGCCGCGUGUGUGAAGAAGGUCUUCGGAUUGUAAAGCACUUUAAGUUGGGAGGAAGGGCAGUAAAUUAAUACUUUGCUGUUUUGACGUUACCGACAGAAUAAGCACCGGCUAACUCUGUGCCAGCAGCCGCGGUAAUACAGAGGGUGCAAGCGUUAAUCGGAAUUACUGGGCGUAAAGCGCGCGUAGGUGGUUCGUUAAGUUGGAUGUGAAAUCCCCGGGCUCAACCUGGGAACUGCAUUCAAAACUGACGAGCUAGAGUAUGGUAGAGGGUGGUGGAAUUUCCUGUGUAGCGGUGAAAUGCGUAGAUAUAGGAAGGAACACCAGUGGCGAAGGCGACCACCUGGACUGAUACUGACACUGAGGUGCGAAAGCGUGGGGAGCAAACAGGAUUAGAUACCCAGUAGUCCCUGAGCGGGCUGGCAAGGCGCAU
RNAcentral lists this ribosomal RNA (471 nucleotides) under uncultured bacterium. RNAcentral's name for it is "bacterial SSU rRNA". It matches the Rfam family "Bacterial small subunit ribosomal RNA", at positions 355 to 825 of the family's 1533-position model. The record is from RNAcentral.